UACGUAGGGGGCAAGCGUUGUCCGGAUUUAUUGGGCGUAAAGAGCGUGUAGGCGGCCAGGUAGGUCUGCUGUGAAAACUCGAGGCUUAACCUCGAGAUGUCGGCGGAAACCAUCUGGCUAGAGUCCGGAAGAGGAGAAUGGAAUUCCCGGUGUAGCGGUGAAAUGCGCAGAUAUCGGGAAGAACACCCGUGGCGAAGGCGGCAUCCUGGACCAAUACUGACACUGAGGAGCGAAAGCCAGGGGAGCAAACGGG
This 253-nucleotide ribosomal RNA is filed under the name uncultured bacterium. Its description in RNAcentral is "partial 16S ribosomal RNA". It matches the Rfam family "Bacterial small subunit ribosomal RNA", at positions 524 to 776 of the family's 1533-position model. The record is from RNAcentral.